Long non-coding RNA from Bufo gargarizans (Asiatic toad), 811 nucleotides. RefSeq lists it as uncharacterized. The record is from RefSeq and is a predicted model, not a curated record. The transcript has 4 exons. Lineage: Eukaryota; Metazoa; Chordata; Amphibia; Anura; Bufonidae.
AGGCGACAUUACGACGAGUCCCAGAGCAGAAUCCGAUUUUCUGCGAGGGAGAAGGACGACAUCCAGAAAAUCCUGUCCACGAGUCUGUACAAGAUCAGGAAAACGAACACGCUGUACAGCAGGCACACGCUGUCUGCAGAUCUCGGGGCCAAACAAGCCAAGGAAAUCCUGACCCGCCGCAACCAGAGCCUCCGUGCCAGUGACGGCAGGAAGCAGAGCGCGUCUGUGAUCUACAGAGGAACCGAGACCAGGCCGAAAUUACUGCGCUCAUUAACUGUGGGGGUUGGUGACACCCCAAAAGGUUACAAGAGGACGAGCCCCAAGAGUGAGGACGACACAGAGGAGACGGUGACUGCAGCGUCCUGAGGCCUCCCGCUGCCCCUCCGCCCUGGACCCCCGGAUGCUGCAGAAGACAAUCAGACAUCGAUGAUGUCACUGCGCCAAAUCCACAGAACCGGCAAAUUCUGUAGAUAGAGGACCCAUAACACAGUGACCUGGUCCUGCUCUCGUAGCUGAGGGUCUGUUACAAUGUGUCCAGUCACAUAGUCAUCUGUCCAGAGGAUUCGUUAUAAUGUAUCAGUCUGGAGUCCAGGAUGUUUUGUCUGGUGGAUACACUGUAACAAACCCCCCGCUCUUCGGUCCAGGUGGUCGCCCCUCCAUCUUCCCUCCCCUCUGGAUAAUAGGUGAAGGUCCUGAAGCCCCCCCAUUACCUCCUUAUAUUGGGGUCCCCCAUAUACGCCCCCUAAUAUUACACCUGUGAUGGGCGUCUCCUCUACAAUAAUGAAACAAUGUAGCAUUUUGUAUAUUACCC